CCUACGGGUGGCAGCAGUGGGGAAUUUUGCGCAAUGGCCGGAAGCCUGAUGCAGCAACGCCGCGUGAACGAGACGGCCCUAGGGGUGUUAAGCUCCUUUAGUGGGGGAGAAAAAUGACGGUACCUACAGAGGACGCACCGGCUAACUCCGUGCCAGCAGCCGCGGUAAUACGGAGGGGGCGAGCGUUUUCCGGAUUUAUUGGGUGUAAGGGGUUCGUAGGCGGCAGGUAAAGCCAGGAGUUAAAGCCGAAGGCUCAACCUGUGGAGUGCCCUUGAUACUGGCUGGCUGGAAUGCGGAUGCGGUAGAGGGAAUGCCUGGUGUAGCGGUGAAAUGCGUAGAUAUCAGGAGGAACACCGGUUGCGUAAGCGCCUUACGGGGCCGCAAUUGACGCUGAGGAACGAAAGCGAGGGUAGCAAACGGGAUUAGAUACCCCAGUAGUC
This 440-nucleotide ribosomal RNA is filed under the name uncultured bacterium. RNAcentral's name for it is "partial 16S ribosomal RNA". It matches the Rfam family "Bacterial small subunit ribosomal RNA", at positions 338 to 795 of the family's 1533-position model. The record is from RNAcentral.